Molecule: ribosomal RNA, 440 nt
Filed under: uncultured bacterium
Lineage: Bacteria
Description: partial 16S ribosomal RNA
Rfam family: Bacterial small subunit ribosomal RNA
Source: RNAcentral
CCUACGGGAGGCAGCAGUGAGGAAUAUUGGUCAAUGGGGGAAACCCUGAAGCAGCAACGCCGCGUGGAGGAUGAAGGUUUUAGGAUUGUAAACUCCUUUUGUGAGAGAAGAUAAUGACGGUAUCUCACGAAUAAGCACCGGCUAACUCCGUGCCAGCAGCCGCGGUAAUACGGAGGGUGCAAGCGUUACUCGGAAUCACUGGGCGUAAAGAGUGCGCAGGCGGGCUUGUAAGUCAGAUGUGAAAUCCUGUAGCUUAACUACAGAACUGCAUUUGAAACUAUGAGUCUAGAGUGUGGGAGAGGUAGGUGGAAUUCUUGGUGUAGGGGUAAAAUGCGUAGAUAUCAAGAGGAAUACUCAUUGCGAAGGCGACCUACUGGAACAUUACUGACGCUCAUGCACGAAAGCGUGGGGAGCAAACAGGAUUAGAUACCCUUGUAGUC